AUACUUACCUGGUAGAGGAGAUACAAUGAUCAAGAAGGGAGACCACUUAGGGUGAGGUACAGUCAUUACACUCCGGCUAUGCUGACCCUUAUGAAUAACCCAAAUGUGUGAACCUCGACUACAUAAUUUGUGGUAGUGGGGGACUGUGUUCGCGCUCUCCCCUG
Entelurus aequoreus (snake pipefish) is the source of this 164-nucleotide small nuclear RNA. RefSeq annotates it as U1 spliceosomal RNA. The transcript has a single exon. NCBI's taxonomy places the organism in Eukaryota, Metazoa, Chordata, Actinopteri, Syngnathiformes, Syngnathidae. The record is from RefSeq and is a predicted model, not a curated record.